Molecule: long non-coding RNA, 1055 nt
Filed under: Castor canadensis (American beaver)
Lineage: Eukaryota; Metazoa; Chordata; Mammalia; Rodentia; Castoridae
Description: lncRNA (ENSCCNG00000010718.1)
Source: RNAcentral
CUUUAGGUUCAAGAUAUUGAUUACUGUUAGUUUGAUAAAAUCUGAAGAACUUAUAUGACUUUCUUCUUUUCAGACAUCAAUUUUCACCCCAGCCUUUGGAUCAGAAACUAAGGUCAGAAUAAAUAGUAACAUGAAAACUGAAGAAGUAAUAAAACAACUUCUCCAAAAAUUUAAGGUAAUCUUUUUUUUACUAAACUGUGCUGUAAAAAUCUUGAAAUAUUUUAACUGUAGAGACAUAAAUGAACUCUUCUGAAAAAAAAUGAAGACUUAAAUUUAAGUUAUAUGUACAGUUCAGAAGGACUCUUUCCUCCAGAAAAUUUGUGUUUGGUUGACUUAGAAAACAUCAAAUAAAAACAAAUAAUUAUGUUUGUUAUUUUUUUCCAUUGAUAGAUUGAGAACAGUCCUCAGGAUUUUGCUCUUUACAUUAUUUUUGCAUCAGGAGAGCAGAGACGCCUAAAGAAGACAGAUGUUCCACUCCUGCAGAGGCUUCUACAAGGACCUUCCAAAAAUAAUGCCCGCCUUUUCCUCAUGGAUAAAGAUGCAGAAGAAAUUAGCAGAGAUGUGGCUCAAUACAUUAACUUUCAUUUUACUUUCUUGGAAUCCAUUCUUCAAAAGUUAAAUGAAGAAGAGAAAAGAGAUAUUCAAAGAACAAUAACAAAACAGCUGUAUCACAGAGACUUAAUGCAUGGACUAGUUAAGACAAGUCUUGGCCACACAUACCUAUUUGUUAGUGAAUAAUUACAGUGGAUAAACCUGAGUGCCAUAGCUGAACCAGGCAGGGUGUCAGGACCUCUUCCCUUGGAGCAUCCUUGUCAUUCUACAAGAUGCUCUCCAGGUAUUUGCAGGCCUGCUCAACUCAUUUGAAAAAAAUACUGAGUGACUUCAUUUAUUAACUCUGUAUUAAUUUGGUUUUAUAGAACAGCCUUCCAUUCCCUAAACUGCAUUCUCUAAAUUGUAUUCCUCAGCAGCAUUAUACUAAAUUGUUUGGUUGUAUUACCUAUACUAAGGAAUAAGGAUGUAUAUAAUAAACCCAGUUAGAAGAUUAAUUAUUAACA